Non-coding RNA from Oryza glumipatula, 193 nucleotides. The record is from Rfam. Lineage: Eukaryota; Viridiplantae; Streptophyta; Magnoliopsida; Poales; Poaceae.
AAAAAGACAAACCAUGGGUUUCCGUGUCUAACUUUGACUGUCCGUCUUAUAUGAAAUUUUUUUAUAAUUCAUAUUUUCAUUGUUGUUAGAUGAUAAAACAUGAUUAACAUUUUAUGUGUGACUUUUCUUUUUAAUUUUUUUUAAAUAAAACGGAUGGUCGAACAUUGGACAUGGAAACAGGGUUUGUCUUUUU